RNAcentral lists this transfer RNA (89 nucleotides) under Chromatium okenii. RNAcentral describes it as "tRNA-Ser". It matches the Rfam family "tRNA". From Rfam's summary of the family: Transfer RNA (tRNA) molecules are approximately 80 nucleotides in length. Their secondary structure includes four short double-helical elements and three loops (D, anti-codon, and T loops). The record is from RNAcentral. Lineage: Bacteria; Pseudomonadati; Pseudomonadota; Gammaproteobacteria; Chromatiales; Chromatiaceae.
GGAGAGAUGGCCGAGCGGCUGAAGGCGCUCCCCUGCUAAGGGAGUAUAGGUUAAUCCUAUCGAGGGUUCGAAUCCCUCUCUCUCCGCCA